GCCUGAUUAGUCUAGCGGUUUAUGACGUUUCCUUUACAUUGCAACCUCUGUAAGGCUCGGAAAAGGUCACAGGUUCGACCCCUGUAUUAGGCA
RNAcentral lists this transfer RNA (93 nucleotides) under Leucosporidium creatinivorum. Its description in RNAcentral is "Leucosporidiella creatinivora tRNA". It matches the Rfam family "tRNA". Rfam says of the family: Transfer RNA (tRNA) molecules are approximately 80 nucleotides in length. Their secondary structure includes four short double-helical elements and three loops (D, anti-codon, and T loops). Lineage: Eukaryota; Fungi; Basidiomycota; Microbotryomycetes; Leucosporidiales; Leucosporidiaceae. The record is from Rfam by way of RNAcentral.